AAAGCUUGCUUUUCAAAUCUUAGCGGCGGACGGGUGAGUAACACGUGGGCAACCUGCCCUUGAGACGGGGAUAACUCCGGGAAACCGGAGCUAAUACCGGAUAACACAUAUCUUCGCAUGAGGAUAUGUUAGAAGGUGGCUUUUAGCUACCACUCAAGGAUGGGCCCGCGGCGCAUUAGCAAAUGGUGAGGUAACGGCUCACAUCGGCGACGAUGCGUAGCCGACCUGAGAGGGUGAUCGGCCACACUGGGACUGAGACACGGCCCAGACUCCUACGGGAGGCAGCAGUAGGGAAUCUUCCGCAAUGGACGAAAGUCUGACGGAGCAACGCCGCGUGAGUGAUGAAGGUUUUCGGAUCGUAAAGCUCUGUUAGGGGUAGGGAAGAACAAGUACCUGUUAUAUAAUCAGGUACCUUGACGGUACCUAACCAGAAAGCCACGGCUAACUACGUGCCAGCAGCCGCGGUAAUACGUAGGUGGCAAGCGUUGUCCGGAAUUAUUGGGCGUAAAGCGCUCUAUCAGGCGGUUCCUUAAGUCUGAUGUGAAAGCCCACGGCUCAACCGUGGAGGGUCAUUGGAAACUGGGGAACUUGAGUGCAGAAGAGGAGAGCGGAAUUCCACGUGUAGCGGUGAAAUGCGUAGAGAUGAACACCAGUGGCGAAGGCGGCUCUCUGGUCUGUAACUGACGCUGAGCGCGAAAGCGUGGGGAGCGAACAGGAAUUAGUAUACCCUGGUAGUUCCACCGCCC
This 746-nucleotide ribosomal RNA is filed under the name Priestia endophytica. RNAcentral's name for it is "bacterial SSU rRNA". It matches the Rfam family "Bacterial small subunit ribosomal RNA", at positions 75 to 802 of the family's 1533-position model. The record is from RNAcentral. Lineage: Bacteria; Bacillati; Bacillota; Bacilli; Caryophanales; Bacillaceae.